This is a long non-coding RNA of Helianthus annuus (common sunflower), 1958 nucleotides long. RefSeq lists it as uncharacterized. The record is from RefSeq and is a predicted model, not a curated record. Lineage: Eukaryota; Viridiplantae; Streptophyta; Magnoliopsida; Asterales; Asteraceae. The transcript has 5 exons.
UAUAUAACAAACUUAAUUAAUAACCCCCUUAGCCGAGUAGUGCUUUCCUCGGUUGUAUGCUUUGGAGACCGAUAAGAAUGUUUGGUUGCUUCUAGGAAGUUGUUGUCAUGGACGUGGAGAAGGCCUGUUUGAGGUGGAUGGAAGAGACUGAACUUACAUCGCUGGUUGCAAUUUUCGAACAACGGAUUUUGGUAGAUGAGGCUGACCAUGGGACAUGGAAGUACAAUGGUAUGGAUUCGUGCUUGGUUAAAGGUAUUGGUAUUGAAAAUUCCAGUACGGUCCGGUUCGUCAUCAAUACAUGAAGGUAAAAACCGGCACGUGUUUGGUACAGAAAACACCAAAGGUUAGUAUCGGGUUGAGUUUGAAAAUCAUAUAGUUCGUGAAAUUCAGUACUGCUACCCGGUACCAUUCGCUCAUCCCUGAUCACGGGAGAAGGGAUGAGCUCGGUGCCAAAUCAGUACUGGUACCGAAAAUAUCAGUUAUAGUACCUGUAUAUGAGGGUAAAAACCGGUAGUGAACCGGUACCAGGAACGCCAAAAGUCGGUAACGAAUUGGUAGUUAGGAUCUUUCGUUUCGGGAAAUUCGGUACCGCUACCCGGUACUAUUUACUCAUCUCUGACCACAGCGGUUCAGUGUCACGCUCGUAGUGAUUUCAAAACACAUGUUGAUUUUCUUUCGGUUCACUUAUCAUGUUUUGUUACCUCAUGUUGAGGUUCUCUUUCACCACCAUCUCUCACUAUCAAAACCAAUGACAAAGAGGUUCAAAACCCAGAUUUUGCUACUUGGGCAAGGGAUGAACAACAAGCGAUUAUUCUACUCAAUGCCUCGUUAACCGAAGAGGCUCUUGCUGUCACGGUCGGUCUCACCUCCGCUCGUGAUAUUUGGGCUGCACUUGAAGCGACGUUUUGCAAUACAUCGGUUGAAAGAAUUCAAAAUUUACAUGAUAAUCUCCGAGCACUUAAGAAUGGAGACAAAUCUGUGGCUGAAUUUGGUUGAGCUUUCAAAGCUAUUUGUGAUCAACUUAGUGUUGUUGGUCAUCAUGUUGAUGCUAUGGAUCAAGUUCAUUGGUUUCUGUGCGGUCUAGGACCCACCUUUGAAAGCUUCUCUACAACCACUCGAUCGGUACGUCCCAUUCCCAGCUUUUCUAAUCUUUUAGCAAGUGCAGAGAGUCACGAGUUGUUCAUAAAAAAACUUGCAUGGAACCCAUGAAUGCCUACUGUUGCUUUUGUGGCAUAGAGUAAUUUUCAAAAGCCCAAAAAUUUUAAUUCCAAUUAUAACCAAAUCGGGCUUCCAUGAACAACUCGGCCCAAUAUAGGCCCAACAGGCCACAUUUCUCUAACAACAGGGGACAAAAUCGUUUUUUGGGCGCCAAAAUAGACCUCCUACAUGCCAACUUUGUCGCAAAUCCGGACACUAUGCUUCACAAUGUUUCCAACUAGCUUCCUUUGCUACAUCUGCCUCUCCAUCUCCGGAUCAACUGGCACAAGCCUUUCAUGCUCAAUGUCACGUAAACUCAAUUCCUGAUUGGACAUCUGACACUGGAGCCACCACUCACAUGCUUCCCAACAACUCUACUCUUCAGAACUCCACUCCAACUCAAGGAUCGCCAAACCAAGCAAACCCUAGCCCGGGGGUGCCGUGAAGACGGUCUAUAUGUUCUUCGCCAAACUCAUGAAGCUUUACUCACUACUUCAUCUUGUCCGGAAGCUUCUUUUUAGUUAUGGCACCCUCGACUUGGACAUGUUCAUUUUGAUAUUAUUUAUACGUUAAAAAACAAUGGUUACUUAUCUUUUACUUCGGUAUUACCUAAACCGGGUCUUUGUUCCCCGUGUGAAAUUGCCAACGCUAAAUGGCAACCUUUUUUGUCUAAUGAAACGUGCAUCUUUGCCUCUCGAAAUAAUACAUUGUGACUUAUGGGGGCCUUCCCAAAUAAAAUCGGUUGAUAAUUUUCUAUAUUA